Molecule: ribosomal RNA, 819 nt
Filed under: bacterium
Lineage: Bacteria
Description: bacterial SSU rRNA
Rfam family: Bacterial small subunit ribosomal RNA
Source: RNAcentral
GGGUGAGUAAUAUAUCGGAACAUAUCCGGAAGUGGGGGAUAACGUAGCGAAAGUUACGCUAAUACCGCAUAUGCCCUGAGGGGGAAAGGGGGGGAUCGCAAGACCUCUCGCUUUCGGAGUGGCCGAUACCGGAUUAGCUUGUUGGUGAGGUAAAGGCUCACCAAGGCGACGAUCCGUAGCUGGUCUGAGAGGACGACCAGCCACACUGGAACUGAGACACGGUCCAAACUCCUACGGGAGGCAGCAGUGGGGAAUUUUGGACAAUGGGCGAAAGCCUGAUCCAGCCAUACCGCGUGAGUGAAGAAGGCCUUCGGGUUGUAAAGCUCUUUCAGCCGGAAAGAAAUUGCACUUCUUAAUACGAAGUGUAGAUGACGGUCCCGGAAGAAGAAGCACCGGCUAACUACGUGCCAGCAGCCGCGGUAAUACGUAGGGUGCGAGCGUUAAUCGGAAUUACUGGGCGUAAAGCGUGCGCAGGCGGUUUUUUAAGUCAGAUGUGAAAUCCCCGGGCUCAACCUGGGAACUGCAUUUGAAACUGGAAGACUAGAGUAUAGCAAAGGGAGGUAGAAUUCCACGUGUAGCAGUGAAAUGCGUAGAUAUGUGGAGGAAUACCAAUGGCGAAGGCAGCCUCCUGGGUUAAUACUGACGCUCAUGCACGAAAGCGUGGGGAGCAAACAGGAUUAGAUACCCUGGUAGUCCACGCCCUAAACGAUGUCAACUAGUUGUUGGGGAAGGAGACUUUCUUAGUAACGUAGCUAACGCGUGAAGUUGACCGCCUGGGGAGUACGGUCGCAAGAUUAAAACUCAAAGGAAUUGACGGGG